Molecule: long non-coding RNA, 868 nt
Organism: Spinacia oleracea (spinach)
Lineage: Eukaryota; Viridiplantae; Streptophyta; Magnoliopsida; Caryophyllales; Amaranthaceae
Exons: 4
Source: RefSeq, a predicted model, not a curated record
ACGUUGAAAAUAAUUUGAAUUACGAAAACACGUUCGAAAUUGGAAAAAAACAAUCCUAACCAUUUUGGAUUUAAGCAACCUCAAUUCUAAUUCUAGCCCAAUUGGGUGAAGCCCAAAUAACAAAAACCCAAAAUUCUUUACUCCCUCCUCUUCCUAUUUCACGUGAAAGGCAAAAAAAAAAAAAAAAAACCCCACAACCCUUUCCUUCUCCUUCACUGUACGUGACCCUCAACCCUCAACCUCCUUGUUGCUGCCGCCACGCCGCCGGACCAGCCACCGACGACCUCCGUCGUCCUUCUCCACCUUGCCGCCGGUAACUUCUUCUUCUUCUUCUUCUUCCUUUCUCUUUUGUCCCUCUUCUCUUUUCGUCUUGCCCUAACCGUUUAUCCUCCCUUUGUUUCGGUUUCGCACGAGCCAACACCACCACCGUUCGUCGCCGUCGCACCGCCAUCCACGCAGCGACGGUCAGCCACGCAACCGUCAGCCACCACCGCGAACAUCCACCUUGCUCGCAGCCGCCCUUGCGACCACCUGCCGCCGUGACUCAGUCCGUCGGCCGCUCAAACCCACCUCUUUCUUGGCGGAGAAUUAUCUUUAGGCGACUUUUGAAAGUGUUAAAGUGGCCUAUUAGUUUGUUUAUACAAGUCUCUAAGGAUCAAUAAGCAUUGUCCAUUUGCAGGUUUGAAGAUGUUGCAUCAUUGGGAUCGGGAAUAGAGAGCUUGUAUUUAGUUUUGAUUUGCUAAGUUGACUUGGGUUUGUUUAAUUGGACUUUAAACUUGUUAGUUGAUCUUAUUUUCGUUGAUUGGUUUUGGGAUUAACUAUGUAAUCGAUUAUUAUAAACCUAAAGUUAAUUUUAUGUUUUCCGCUG